CAUCGGAACGUGCCCUGGAGUGGGGGAUAACGUAGCGAAAGUUACGCUAAUACCGCAUAUUCUGUGAGCAGUAAAGCAGGGGAUCGCAAGACCUUGCGCUUUAGGAGCGGCCGAUGUCGGAUUAGCUAGUUGGUGAGGUAAAGGCUCACCAAGGCGACGAUCCGUAGCGGGUCUGAGAGGAUGAUCCGCCACACUGGGACUGAGACACGGCCCAGACUCCUACGGGAGGCAGCAGUGGGGAAUUUUGGACAAUGGGCGCAAGCCUGAUCCAGCCAUGCCGCGUGAGUGAAGAAGGCCUUCGGGUUGUAAAGCUCUUUCGGUGGGGAAGAAAUUGCUUCGAUUAAUACUCGGAGUAGAUGACGGUACCCGCAUAAGAAGCACCGGCUAACUACGUGCCAGCAGCCGCGGUAAUACGUAGGGUGCGAGCGUUAAUCGGAAUUACUGGGUGUAAAGCGUGCGCAGGCGGUUGUAUAAGUCAGAUGUGAAAUCCCCGGGCUCAACCUGGGAACUGCAUUUGAGACUGUACGGCUAGAGUGUGGCAGAGGGGGGUGGAAUUCCACGUGUAGCAGUGAAAUGCGUAGAGAUGUGGAGGAACACCGAUGGCGAAGGCAGCCCCCUGGGCCAAUACUGACGCUCAUGCACGAAAGCGUGGGGAGCAAACAGGAUUAGAUA
Molecule: ribosomal RNA, 672 nt
Filed under: uncultured beta proteobacterium
Lineage: Bacteria; Pseudomonadati; Pseudomonadota; Betaproteobacteria
Description: bacterial SSU rRNA
Rfam family: Bacterial small subunit ribosomal RNA
Source: RNAcentral